GGAAUCUUGGACAAUGGGGGCAACCCUGAUCCAGCGACGCCGCGUGGGUGAUGAAGGCCUUCGGGUUGUAAAGCCCUUUCACCGGGGACGAUGAUGACGGUACCCGGAGCAGAAGCACCGGCUAACCCAGUGCCAGCAGCCGCGGGAAGACGGAGGGUGCUAGCGUUGUUCGGAAUCACUGGCCGUAAAGGGCGCGUAGGCGGCGCGGCAAGUUGGCUGUGAAAGCCCGGGGCUCAACUCCGGAGGUGCAGCCGAGACUGCCGUGCUCGAGUCCGGAAGAGGAGGGUGGAAUACCCAGUGUAGAGGUGAAAUUCGUAGAUAUUGGGUGGAACACCGGUGGCGAAAGCGGCUCUCUGGUCCGGUUCUGACGCUGAGGCGCGAAAGCGUGGGGAGCAAAC
This 398-nucleotide ribosomal RNA is filed under the name uncultured bacterium. RNAcentral describes it as "bacterial SSU rRNA". It matches the Rfam family "Bacterial small subunit ribosomal RNA", at positions 358 to 773 of the family's 1533-position model. The record is from RNAcentral.